Molecule: long non-coding RNA, 1967 nt
Organism: Ailuropoda melanoleuca (giant panda)
Lineage: Eukaryota; Metazoa; Chordata; Mammalia; Carnivora; Ursidae
Exons: 4
Source: RefSeq, a predicted model, not a curated record
GAGCCUGAUGUGGGGCUCCAUCCCAUAACGCCGGGAUCAUGCCCUGAGCCGAAGGCAGACGCUUAACCGCUGUGCCACUCAGGUGCCCCUGUUAUACAAAUUUUUAAUAAAUCUCUAUCUGCAGUGCUUAGCAAGAUACUCUUUGCAUCUGGUAUUGACUACACUCUGUGGGGCUGCCUGUUAACCAGUUGCCUCCUUAUGAUCACGGUGAAGAAAAUAAUACGGAUACCAAGAGCCGCAAUCACCAUGCCCAUAGUGCAGGUGUGCCUUCACACAUGGGCAGUGCACGGACCCUGGGGAAGGGUGUUUUGACUGCACUGAACACUUGCCGCUUCCAGAUCAAAGCUUCUACAGGCUUCCAGCUGAAAUACACAGUAACAAUUGUGCUUCCAUGCACUCAGGAUAUGUCCAGGACUCACACAGACAAUCUCUCGGCUACGGAAUGAGGAUAAUUUCAAAACACAGGAGUCACUGAUACAGUGUUUGGGAGAACUGAAGAGCUUUCCUGUAUCAGGUGCCCUGCCCGGAUACUCAUGACGCAAAAACACUUCGCACUCCCAUUGGGUGUUGGGUUUCUGGAGAAUCCAAUCAGCGGCACCGCGGUUCCAGGGUCUACAGUAGUCGCCAGACCCGCGAGGACUCAGCUACUUCUCAGACCCUGAGAGUCUGGGUCAUGGGCCCCCGAACCCUCGUCCUGCUGCAGUCGGGGCCCUGGUCGUGACCGAGACCUGGGCGGUCAAGGCCCAAAAGGAACCACUGCCCCCGGCACUGGGCACUGAUGCCACUGUCCACACCACUGCAUCUGAGGCCAGGACUGCUGUCGCUGCUGCUCCUGGCAGCUGGGAGACACGACGGCCACUCACGCCCCUUGUGCUAAAUGCAUGCAGCCCUGACCCAGCUUCUGUGUCGCCACGUCCUGAGUCAGAGUCUGGCAUGUGGUCACCUGACUGGUGGAGCCUCAGGCCCUGUCCCCCUGCAACAAUGUGUGACAUCCCGACUUUGAUCUGGAUUCCUGGGGAGUGACCACCAACACCCUUGGACUUGAACUUCCCCAUUUAGUCUGGUCUCUGUGUUCCUAGUCACAGGCCUGUGAGAGGCCACGCAUUCAAGUGGUUCCCAAGGUCACCCCUGUUGUAGGCAGGCUCCGAGAUGGCUCCAGCGUUCCCAUCCCCCAGUAUUCCUGCCCUUGUGUAAUACCCACUUUGGGACCAGAAGCUGGACAUAGUGACUUGCUGGUGACACAUAGACCAGGGUGAAGUCAUGCAGUGAGCAUUUGGAAUCACCAGGAGACAAGAGAUGAGGCACCUGGAGUCUACAGUCUCAAGGUGGGCCAUCCAAGCCAGGCUGGCCACAGGAAGUCCUGCUUCUCCAGUCCAUCUCCUCCCUCCAUGAAGUGCGUACUGGCCUCCCAUCUCUGCUGGUGUGGCAGCAACGAUGAGACAACCAUGGAUGGCAGAGGCUCCAUGUCCAAACUUGUCAUUGUCAUUGUCCUAGCCAUCCUGUCAUGGCCCCAGGGUCCCGCUUUCCUCCGAGCUCCCAGUUACCAUGACCUGCAGGGUAGGGGGUCUGCCCACCUCUUCCCCAGGACCAGCAGUGUCCCUCGGGGCAGUGCAUGCCUCCAAAGGCCCCCCAGCAUUUGUCCCUGUGCCCCACCCCCACUAGAUUCUCCUCGGGAAACAUUCACCAUCUAGACUAUGUUACUGUGAUACAGGACGAAGGACGUGUUUGGUCUUGCUCCUCAGUUCCUGCACACAGCUCUUAACACCUUUGUUACUGCCUACAUAAGAAGAGUCAUGGGAACACCUCUACUUGGUAUUGUUCCCAGAUCCUGAAAAAGCUCUGGAAAGAUCCUGGUCCCAUCCUUCCACACUGUACCAAACUCCACCAUGUACUGUCUCUCUGCUCUGAUGCUGUGAGCCCUUAGAAGCCAGGACUCGGUCGGUGCCUGAAACAUAAGCGUCUGGCAA